This 434-nucleotide ribosomal RNA is filed under the name uncultured bacterium. RNAcentral describes it as "partial 16S ribosomal RNA". It matches the Rfam family "Bacterial small subunit ribosomal RNA", at positions 29 to 507 of the family's 1533-position model. The record is from RNAcentral.
AGCGAACGCUGGCGGCAGGCCUAACACAUGCAAGUCGAACGAACCUUUCGGGGUUAGUGGCGGACGGGUGAGUAACACGUGGGAACGUGCCUUUAGGUUCGGAAUAACUUAGGGAAACUUGUGCUAAUACCGAAUGUGCCCUUCGGGGGAAAGAUUAAUCGCCUUUAGAGCGGCCCGCGUCUGAUUAGCUAGUUGGUUGAGGUAAUGGCUCACCAAGGCGACGAUCAGUAGCUGGUCUGAGAGGAUGAUCAGCCACAUUGGGACUGAGACACGGCCCAAACUCCUACGGGAGGCAGCAGUGGGGAAUCUUGCGCAAUGGGCGAAAGCCUGACGCAGCCAUGCCGCGUGAAUGAUGAAGGUCUUAGGAUUGUAAAAUUCUUUCACCGGGGACGAUAAUGACGGUACCCGGAGAAGAAGCCCCGGCUAACUUCGUG